UACGGAGGGUGCAAGCGUUAUCCGGAUUCACUGGGCGUAAAGGGUGCGUAGGUGGUCGGGUAAGUCUGAUGUGAAAUCUCUGGGCUCAACCCAGAAAUGGCAUUGGAUACUAUUCGGCUAGAGGAGUGGAGGGGGGACUGGAAUACUUGGUGUAGCAGUGAAAUGCGUAGAUAUCAAGUGGAACACCAGUGGCGAAGGCGAGUCCCUGGACACUUCCUGACACUGAGGCACGAAAGCUAGGGGAGCAAACAGG
RNAcentral lists this ribosomal RNA (253 nucleotides) under uncultured bacterium. Its description in RNAcentral is "partial 16S ribosomal RNA". It matches the Rfam family "Bacterial small subunit ribosomal RNA", at positions 524 to 776 of the family's 1533-position model. The record is from RNAcentral.